CUUCAGUGAUUAAUGCUCCUACAGGACGC
This 29-nucleotide non-coding RNA is filed under the name Homo sapiens (human). Lineage: Eukaryota; Metazoa; Chordata; Mammalia; Primates; Hominidae. The record is from RNAcentral.